AUUCGGUUGCCACCGGGUAGCCGAGAUGCGAAAGCAUUCGUGAUACAUCAUUAGGUCUCAGAAGAUGUAUGCACGGGUGCUUUUUCAUUU
RNAcentral lists this non-coding RNA (90 nucleotides) under unclassified sequences. The record is from RNAcentral.